This is a long non-coding RNA of Pygocentrus nattereri (red-bellied piranha), 3759 nucleotides long. The record is from Ensembl. NCBI's taxonomy places the organism in Eukaryota, Metazoa, Chordata, Actinopteri, Characiformes, Serrasalmidae.
GGAAGGAGGAAGUAAACAAGUGCAGAAUGGUGGGCAGCUCGCAGUGGCUUUGGUGAAGAGGAAGAGAGGGGGAUGAAGAGAGGGUGAGAGAGAGAGAGAGAGAGAGAGGGAGAGAGAGAGAGAGAGAGAGUGGGACGGUCCUGCUGACGAGAGAGAGAAAGAGAUGAAAGGAUCGAUAAACAGAUGAAGUGAUAGAGGUGAAGGAGGGGGAGAGCUUCUUGCCACUGGAAAGUGCUGGGGCUGCUGGAAAGAGUCGCUCACGAGCCGUGCGGUGAAACUCACUCACUCGCUCGCUCACUCACUAUCUGCACUGUACAUCACUGUCACAUUCAGCAGUGCCACCGCACACGCACAGCCCGGUUAUAAACAGCACGGGUGAGGAUGCGUGUUCCGUCUUUAACUUCGUCUUUCCACUCUCACUCUCUCUGAGCUGUGACGCAUCUCCUCCGGUGCACACUUUGCGGGUCAGAAAAGAAAAACUGACCACAGCCUUUUAAAGCCAUUUUGACACCUCGACACUUUUCCUCUAGCUGAACAGCCGAGAGGUUCACUUCUGUGGCUUUGCAAUUGAACCAUAAAGCUAAUGAAGAUGUCUUCUAUAAAAAUGAACAAAAGUCAAGAAAAUUCAGAUCCAGGCUUCCAGACAGCUGCUACCACCGCCAUGCUUCUACGUUUACUUUAAGAGCUCUACUAACCAUAUGGGAGCACUUUGUAGCUCUUCAAUGGUCAGGACCCCCACAGGACAACCACAGAACAGCAGACAGGUUGCCCGUCUGGCUGUGCGUAGUGCAGGUCAAAGGUCAGACCGGUGGACAGACAGCAGCGGGGUCGAGGCGGGCUGGAGCCGCGUAUGUCAACAGGAUUGGAGGUCAUUAUGUUGCCUCGACAACAAAAUGUCUCAGUUUCCAUGGAAACACCAUCCUCAUCAGGCUAUACAGCAUGACGGCUGUGAAAGGCUGUGUUUUGUUUAAGGCCUUAUUAACCCCCCCAAAACCUGCUGGUCAGCACAAGCUGUGAAAUCACUGGACAUUGCUCUGCUCUGUGAUUGGACACUGGGCUGCGUUGCCAAGCAACAGUAGUGAAAGGUCUCUGGUGUGCGUUGAUGUGAGUAUGUGUGUGUAUAUAUACAAUACUGUGCAAAAUCAGAGACCACCUUUCAUUCAUUUCAUUUGCAGUCAAAACAACCAUUAAACACCAGCUAUUCAUUUUUCAGGAGAUCUUUCUGAGGAGACUAGAUAUAAGACAACACACUUGCUCAAGGAAACAAAGUCAAAAGAGAAUAAGUGAGAAAAGCAGGACUUUCCAAAAAAUGAGGAAAAGAUCCAAAGUAAAUGGGACUCCUAACAACCAUCCGGAAGACCAAAACUGUCCCCAUCAAACGUCUGAAGGAAAGUAGAUGAAACAGACCUUCUCAAAUCAAACAAAGACGCUGAUGUUGUUCUCAGAACAAUGGACUGACCACCCCAGAGUCCUCAUCUCAACACCACUGAAUGGGUUUGGGAUUGUCUGGACUACGAGAAGCAGAAAGUACAACCAGUGGUCUCACUUUAUUUGGAUAGCCCACUAUACAUGUUCUGUUGAAACUCAGUUCUAAACAGUGGUGGGGUUAGGGUUAGGAUUUGGACCGGGGUUUGGGCUAUGACCGAAGUGAGGGUUGGAUUUAGGGUUUGGGUUGAGGUUAAGCUUAGGGAUUAGAGCCAAGGUUAGAGUUAAAGACAAUGAUGGUCAGUUUAGCACAGUCAUGUCAAACUGGGGACCUUCAGGGCCAAAACACUGCAGAGAUUAGCAUUUACAUUCACCUACCACUCAGUUCAGGAAGGCCUUGCCAAUCAGCUGAUGAGCUGAAUCAGGUGUGUUUAAUGAGGCAGUGUGUUGGAGUCUGCAGUGCUUUGGCCCGCGAGGACUGGAUCCUGACGCAUGUGAUUUAGUAGAUAUUUAGUUGAAUGUAACUUGAAAGUAAAUUAAGCGUCUACAAAGCAUCUACCCCUUAGUUUUGUGCAGUCACGUCUGGGGGUAGGGUGUCCUGACCGUUGUUGAGAGAGGGGUGGGGCGAAGUGUUUGAGCUACAUGGUCCUAAAAACAAAGGUUUUUCAGAGACACUCCAAACAGAGUGAUAUGAGAAAAACAUGAAAAAACGGCAAGACAACGGCUGAACAAGAAACCCACAAAUGUGAGAACCUUCUCUGUUAAAAAUGACAAUAACCAUUUUAUUAUCUUAUUUUAAUGUCAUUUCAAUGUAUUAUGGUCCUUUUCUUCAUAAUAAGCAUAAAAAUCGCAAGUAGUGUGCGGAUGUCUCGGUAGCUAGCUGGCUAAAUUUCCCGUUCCACUUUAAAUGGAGCAACAGUUACAUUCCAGCACCUCAGGCAUUGGAAAUGCUGUGCCAUUUAAGGUGGAACACAAAAUUAGAACGAGAAUCUGGUGCAUUUCUGACUUCAGCUUCACAUCACUGAAGAAUUAAGGGGGGGUGAUGAUAAAUAACUGCCCCCUCUUUGAAGGCGUAUGAUGCCCUAAAUGUAACUAAAGCCCAGCAGUGCGGAGCUGAACUUCACCCUCCUCUGCGGUCACUGCAGACGGGCAGGGUCGCCUACAGAGCAGUGCUAGUAGCUGAUAAAGUGAUGCUCUUUAUUUGAGUGUCCCAUUUCACAUGGAAGAUUUCAAUGACUACCCCUUGUAACUCAGUUCCAAGGGGCAAAGCGAUAUGAAAACAAGGGGUAGGGGUAAAAAUAAGAAAUGGUAUUGGGCCUAAGACUGAACUUUGCAGGGUUGGAAAAAUAUCCCUACAGAUUACUGUAAAAAAAUAGCAGGUCUCCUUAAAAGAAUGGAAGCUAUAAUAAUAAGUGCGCACAUACUAAAUGCUGAAAAACUGAUACUAUAUUUAGCUGUUGAAGCUUCUAUGAUUUUCCAUUAAAUAUGUUUCCAGCCUUUUUUUUUUCCUGACGCCGUUUUGACUGGAAAUGAAAUGAAUGAAGGGGGAGGGGGUCUCUGACUUUUGCAUGGCACUGUGUGCACGUCCUUUGUGAGAAUGCGUUUUCAUAUGUGCUGGAAAGCCUGUGAGAAUGACUUUGCGCAUACAUAAUGGAAUUUUACCUUUUCUUAUUGCAUUCAGUGAAGUGUGUGUGUGUGUGUGUGUGUGUGUGUGUGUGUAUGUGUGUGUGUGUGUGUGUGUGUGUGUGUGUGUGUGUGUGUGUGCCGGGGGAAUAGGUGGUUAUUGUUUCUGACACAGAGGCUCAUAUUUCUGUAUCGAUCGAUUUCUCUGAGUCCCGACACGACAAUAAUCACACGCGCACACACACACACACACACACGCACGCACACACACACAGGGCUGCCUCUAUCAGCGCUAUUAUUACUGCACUGAGAGUUUGAAAAGGGAAAUAAGAAUCGAGGAGAGAUGCGGAGUGGAAGAAAGGAGAAAACAAAAGAAAAUGAAAUGAAAUAAAGGAACAAAGGAGACUGAUAAAAGAGAAAGAAAUAAGAGGGAAAGAGGGAAAUGUGGAGGAAAAACACAGUUAAUAACGUUCGGUGGGCUUUAUUGCUUUGUCCUGACGCAGCUCUAGAAAAAAUGGAAUAUACCGUUAUUCUCCGUCAGUGCAUGUAGGAUACGCUGAUAUAUUUACAUCUACAUUGAGGUCAAUUUACGUAAUUGAAUCAGCUCAAUUUUGCAUAGGGCAAUACAUUUACAGUAAAUGUGCUGUAAUGAAUAACAUUAAAUGCACAUGGUAAAUAUGGUCAUUUUCCAUAUAAAGCAUAUAUUUGAAC